Canis lupus familiaris (dog) is the source of this 586-nucleotide long non-coding RNA. RefSeq lists it as uncharacterized. The record is from RefSeq and is a predicted model, not a curated record. The transcript is spliced from 4 exons. Lineage: Eukaryota; Metazoa; Chordata; Mammalia; Carnivora; Canidae.
CUGAGCCUCCAUCGGACCCUUAUAGACAUGUUUUCAUACAGCAGGCAUGCCUGCGAGGGAUUAUUUGACUCGCUUUACAGAUGAAGUUACUGAGGGCCAGAGAAACCCCAAAUCACAUGGCCAAUGAGAAAGAAGAUAUGCUGAGUGUGAAGUGCCUGCUAUCCUGGAGGAAGAUGUUACCUUCAAGGUACUGUGUUAAGCACUUGGGUGUACAAGAUUUGGUGAAAUUCUGAUUUUAGUGAAUUUCUGAAUUUUGCAUUGGCUUAAAAAAGAAGGAGGAGUCUUCGUUGGGGCUCCUUGGGGAUGGCAUGGAGAACUUUCACCAGUCAGCUUCAAGCCUGCAUUUUGGCCUCCUUCCCUCUGGCUGCCUCCCCACCUGGAAGCUGGUUAUAAAUGUAGAAUCUCGGGCCCCACCCCAAAGCUACUGGAUCAGAAUCUACUUUAAAUGCACCCUGAAGUGUGAAAAGCACAAUUCAAACCUAGACCAUGACGGGACCAGAUACUGGAUUCUUCAUAAUUUCAGGAAAACCCUCCCUUUAAACAGGCCCAAGGUGGAAACUCUCAGUACUGAUCUCCAUGCUGCAAU